AAAUGAAAAUGAAAAUAAAAAUGGGAGUGAGGAGUAACAAAAGUGAAAUAAAUUUCAAAUAAAUUUUUAAUUUUUGUUUUCACUUUCGUUACUCAUCCCUCCCAUCCUCCCCUCUCAUCUUCAUCU
Molecule: microRNA precursor, 126 nt
Filed under: Prunus dulcis (almond)
Lineage: Eukaryota; Viridiplantae; Streptophyta; Magnoliopsida; Rosales; Rosaceae
Description: sRNA ncRNA
Source: RNAcentral